Molecule: non-coding RNA, 77 nt
Organism: Potamilus streckersoni
Lineage: Eukaryota; Metazoa; Mollusca; Bivalvia; Unionida; Unionidae
Source: the annotation of a GenBank genome assembly
GACCGCUCCAGUGGCCUAGUGGUCAGAGCAUCUGCUCUAGAUGCAGGAGUUCAUGGGUUCAAACCCCAACUGAGUCA